Molecule: ribosomal RNA, 471 nt
Filed under: uncultured bacterium
Lineage: Bacteria
Description: partial 16S ribosomal RNA
Rfam family: Bacterial small subunit ribosomal RNA
Source: RNAcentral
GACGAACGCUGGCGGCGUGCUUAACACAUGCAAGUCGAGCGGUAAGGCCCUUUCGGGGGUACACGAGCGGCAAACGGGUGAGUAACACGUGGGUGACCUGCCCUCAGCUCUGGGAUAAGCCUGGGAAACCGGGUCUAAUACUGGAUAUGACUCCAUGACGCAUGUUGUGGGGUGGAAAGCCUUGUGCGGCUGAGGAUGGGCCCGCGGCCUAUCAGCUUGUUGGUGGGGUGANGGCCUACCAAGGCGACGACGGGUAGCCGGCCUGAGAGGGCGACCGGCCACACUGGGACUGAGAUACGGCCCAGACUCCUACGGGAGGCAGCAGCUAGGAAUUUUGCGCAAUGGGCGAAAGCCUGACGCAGCAACGCCGCGUGGGGAAGAAGGCCCUCGGGUUGUAAACCCCUUUUCUGAGGGAAGAAGAUCUGACGGUACCUCAGGAAUAAGCCACGGCUAACUACGUGCCAGCAGCCG